AGAGUUUGAUCAUGGCUCAGGACGAACGCUGGCGGCGUGCCUAAUACAUGCAAGUCGAGCGAGCUUGCCUAGAUGAUUUUAGUGCUUGCACUAAAUGAAACUAGAUACAAGCGAGCGGCGGACGGGUGAGUAACACGUGGGUAACCUGCCCAAGAGACUGGGAUAACACCUGGAAACAGAUGCUAAUACCGGAUAACAACACUAGACGCAUGUCUAGAGUUUGAAAGAUGGUUCUGCUAUCACUCUUGGAUGGACCUGCGGUGCAUUAGCUAGUUGGUAAGGUAACGGCUUACCAAGGCAAUGAUGCAUAGCCGAGUUGAGAGACUGAUCGGCCACAUUGGGACUGAGACACGGCCCAAACUCCUACGGGAGGCAGCAGUAGGGAAUCUUCCACAAUGGACGAAAGUCUGAUGGAGCAACGCCGCGUGAGUGAAGAAGGGUUUCGGCUCGUAAAGCUCUGUUGGUAGUGAAGAAAGAUAGAGGUAGUAACUGGCCUUUAUUUGACGGUAAUUACUUAGAAAGUCACGGCUAACUACGUGCCAGCAGCCGCGGUAAUACGUAGGUGGCAAGCGUUGUCCGGAUUUAUUGGGCGUAAAGCGAGUGCAGGCGGUUCAAU
This 616-nucleotide ribosomal RNA is filed under the name uncultured bacterium. RNAcentral describes it as "bacterial SSU rRNA". It matches the Rfam family "Bacterial small subunit ribosomal RNA", at positions 8 to 584 of the family's 1533-position model. The record is from RNAcentral.